CCGUAGGGGUGCCGGCGAUCCAACACUACUGAGUUUAAGCAUAUCAUUAAGCCGAGGAAAAGAAACUUACCAGGAUUCCCCUAGUAAUGGCGAGCGAAUAGGGAAAAGCCUAGCUUCAGAAUCGAGCACCAUCGGUAUCUGAAUUGUAGUCUGUAGAACCAUCCUCAGCUAGGGACCAGCCCAAGUCCUUUAUAAAGGGGCACCGGAGAGGGUGAGAGCCCCGUCGUGCUCAGACCUUGUCACACCACGAGGCGCUGUCUACGAGUCGGAUUGUUUGGGAAUGUAGCCCUGAUUAGGCAGUAAAUUCCGUCCAAGGCUAAAUACGGGUGAGAGACUGAUAGCGAACAAGUACAGCGAAAGAAAGAUAAAAAGGACUUUGGAAAGAAAGUCAAAGGGUGCUUGAAAUUGUCGGGAGGGAAGCAGAUGGGGGUUGGCAAUGAGCCCCGAGAGGAUGUGGAACAGCGAGAGACGGUCCACCAAUCGGCUCAGGGUGUGGACCAACACUGGUCGUGGUGACGGCCUAUGCCCGGGACUUUGAUACGCCCAUGUAGACAUCGUAGCCUCAAUCGUGAGAUCCAGCACCUGACGUCUUAAUGUGGUUCGGCACCUGUAUGCUCUGGGCGUCGGCUUGUGGGCUCCCCAUUCGACUCGUCUUGGAACACGGGCCAAGGAGUCUGACAUGUGUGUGAGUCAACGGGUUAAAAAACCUUAAGGUGAAAUGAAGCUGAUUCGCGGGAUCCCUCACGGGUGCACCGCAGACCGGCCUUGAUCUUCUGAAAAGGGUUCGAGUGAGAGCAUGCCUCUUAAGACUCGAAAGAUGGUGAACUAUGCCUGAGCAGGGCAAAGCUUGUUGAAACUCUAGUGGAGGCCCGCAGCGAUACUGCCGUGCAAAUUGUUCGUCUGACUUGGGUAUAGGGGCAAGAGACUAAUCAAACCAUCUAGUAGCUAGUUCCCUCCGAAUUUUCCCUCAGGAUAGCUAGAGCCCUUUGCGAGUUCUGUCAGGUAAAGCCAAGGAUUAGAGGCAUCGGGGGCGCAACACCCUCGACCUAUUCUCAAACUGUAAAUAGGUAAGAUGGUGCGGCUACUUCAUUGAGCCGCGCCAUGGAAUCGAGAGCUCCAAGUGGGCCAUUUUUGGUAAGCAAAAAUGAUGAUGCAGGAUGAACCGAAAGCUAGGUUACGGUGCCUAAGUAUGCGCUGACCUAUAACCCACAAAGGCUGUUAGUCGAUAAAAACAGCAAGACAAUGGUCAUGGAAGUCGACAUUCGCUAAGGAGUGUGUAACAACUCACCUGUCGAAUCAACUAGCCUCAAAAAUAGAUAGAGCUUAUACGUGCGACCUAUACCCAGUCGUCGGGGUAAGGGCCAGGCACCGAUGAAUAGGAGGGUGAGGUGGUCACUGCAAAACCCUGGGCACGAGCCCGAGUGAAGUGGCCAUCGGUGUAGAUCUUGGUGGUAGUAGCAAAUAUUCAAAUGAGAAAUUUGAAGGCCAAAAAGGGGGAAAGGUUCCAUGUGAACGGCACUUACGCAUGGGUUAGUCGAUCCUAAGAGACGAGGGAAGCCCGUCUGAUAGUGCGCCUAACGCGAGUUUCGAAAGAGAAUCGGGUUAAAAUUCCAAAACUGGGAUGCAGAAGCUAACAGUAAUGUUAGGGACUCUGAAAAUGUCAGCAAGGGCCUCAAAAAGAGUUAUCUUUUCUGUUUAACGACCUGCCCACUCUAGAAAGGGCUCAGCUGGAGGUAAGGUCCAGCGGCCAGAAGAGCACCGCAUAUCGUGUGGUGUCCGAUGCGGCCCUGACAACCCUUGAAAAUCUAGAGGAAUGAGUGCCGAUCGUACUCAUAAUAGCAUCAGGUCUCCAAGGUGAACAGCCUCUGGUCAAUGGAACAAUAUAGGCAAAGGAAGUCGGCAAAAUGGAUCUGUAAUCUCGGGAAAAGGAUUGGCUCUCAGAGUUGAGCAUGGGGGUCCUAGUCCUGAACUCGUCAACUGUCGGUGUACUGCUCAAGCUACUCUCAUGGCGAGAGCGAGUCAUCAUGUGCUGGCCGGGGGACGAACUGGGAACGGCUCCCUCGGGGGCCUUCCCCGAGUGACGAACAGUUGACUCAAAAACUGGUAUAGACAUGGGGAAUCCGACUAUUAAUAAAACAAAGCAUUGCGAUGGUCCCUAUGGAUGCUCACGUAAUGUGAUUUCUGCCAAGUGCUCUGAAUGUCAAAGUGAAGAAAUUCAACCAAGCGUGGGUAAAUGGCGGGAGUAACUAUGACUCUCUUAAGGUAGCCAAAUGCCUCGUCAUCUAAUUAGUGAUGAAUGUGAAUGAAUUAACUAGAUUCCCACUGUCCCUGUCUAUUAUCUAGUGAAACCACAGCCAAAGGAAUGAGCUUGGUAGAAUCAUUAGGGAAAGAAGACCCUGUUGAGCUUGACUCUAGUCUGACUUUGUAAAAUGACUUGAGAGGUGUAGGAUAAGUGGGAGCUCUCGGGCGAAAUUAAAAUACCACUACUUUUAACGUUAUUUACUUAUUCCAUGAAUUAGAGGCGGGGCACGGCCCCUCUUUUUAGACCCAAGGUCGGCUUCAGCUGAACGAUCCGAGCAGAAGACAUUGUCAGGUGGGGAGUUUGGUUGGGCAGCACAUCUGUUAAAAGAUAAUACUGGCGUCCUAAGAUGAGCUCAACAAGAACAGAAAUCUCAUGCAGAACAAAGGGUAAAAGCUCGUUUAAUUCUGAUUUCCAGUACGAAUAUUAACAGUGAAAGCAUGGCCUAUUGAUCCUUUAAACCUUCAGAAUUUGAAGUUAGGGGUGUCAGAAAAGUUACCACAGGGAUAAUUGGCUUGUGGAAGCCAAACAUUCAUAGCGAUGUUGCAUUUUGAUCCUUUGAUGUCGGCUCUUCCUAUCAUUGUGAAGCAGAAUUCACCAACUGUUGGAUUGUUCACCCACUAAUAGGGAAUGGGAGCUGGGUUUAGACCAUCGUGAACAGGUCAUUUUUUCCCUACUAAUGUCACAUCGCAAAAUUAAUUCAACCUAGUAAGAGAUGAACCAUUGAUUCGCACAAUUGGUCAUCGCGCUUGGUUGAAAAGCUAGUGGCACGAAGCUACCGUGCGCUUGAUUAUGAUUGAACGUUUCUAAGUCAGAAUCCAGACUAGAAGUGACACACGCACCCGUCACCUGAUUGCCAACCCACAGUAGGGGCCUCUGUCCCCUAAGGGCACAUGUCGUAAGUGUAGUGACUGCAGCGGACAAGUUGUGGGCGCCUCCUUGAAACGUAAUUCCCACCGGACAGUGGGUAGAAUCCUUUGCAGACGACUUAAAUAUGCGACUGUUAGAAUUCGGCACCCCUACGGUGCAGCAAAAAUUAAUUCAUCUGGUGAUCCAA
Non-coding RNA from Gossypium raimondii (Peruvian cotton), 3356 nucleotides. NCBI's taxonomy places the organism in Eukaryota, Viridiplantae, Streptophyta, Magnoliopsida, Malvales, Malvaceae. The record is from Rfam.